ACACGACUACAUUAGAUACCCGGGUAGUCCAGGGUGUAAGCGCUGCGGGCUUGGUGUUGGGGGUCCUUUGAGGGCGCCCGGUGCCGGAGAGAAGUUGUUAAGCCUGCUGCUUGGGGAGUACGCCCGCAAGGAUGAAACUUAAAGGAAUUGGCGGGGGAGCACCGCAACGGGAGGAGCGUGCGGUUCAAUUGGAUUCAACGCCGGAAAUCUUACCGGGACCGACAGCAACAUGAAGGCCAAGCUGAAGACUUUGCCGGAUUAGCUG
This 265-nucleotide ribosomal RNA is filed under the name uncultured archaeon. Its description in RNAcentral is "partial 16S ribosomal RNA". It matches the Rfam family "Archaeal small subunit ribosomal RNA", at positions 717 to 982 of the family's 1478-position model. The record is from RNAcentral.